UACGUAGGGUCCAAGCGUUGUCCGGAUUUAUUGGGCGUAAAGAGCGUGUAGGCGGCCUGACAGGUCUGCUGUGAAAACUCGAGGCUCAACCUCGAGAUGUCGGCGGAAACCGUCUGGCUAGAGUCCGGAAGAGGAGAGUGGAAUUCCUGGUGUAGCGGUGAAAUGCGCAGAUAUCAGGAAGAACACCUAUGGCGAAGGCAGCUCUCUGGGACGGUACUGACGCUGAGACGCGAAAGCGUGGGGAGCGAACAGG
This 253-nucleotide ribosomal RNA is filed under the name uncultured bacterium. Its description in RNAcentral is "partial 16S ribosomal RNA". It matches the Rfam family "Bacterial small subunit ribosomal RNA", at positions 524 to 776 of the family's 1533-position model. The record is from RNAcentral.